GCUGAGUUGGAGGCCAGCCUGGGUGACAGAGCAAGAUCCUGACCAGGAAAAGAAGUAAUGAAACUUGUUAGCUCAAAUGCUGUUGGAGAUACAGCCCUGGCUGGCCUGGCGCUCAGGCUAGGCUAGCUUUGAACUUGCAGUGCUGGGGAGAUCAUGACAGCUGGACAUUUGCAGCUUGCUGAUCUUGGAUGAUGACGCUUUCCUGCUUUCCUCGCUUUCCUGCUUUCCUCGUGGCUUAAAGGUUCUCCCACUGAGCUACAUCCCCAGCCUCUGUACCCCCAACUCUUGAUUCUGUUUUGGAAGCCAUCGCCGGAUUUCUCUGUCCAGAACUCUGGCUCUAGCCUCGCUAACAGUGUCCGAGCUGGGAACCGGCGAUCUGGAAAUCUAGGUUCAGCACGCCCAGCACAAGCCCCUCACUGGACACAAGUUUCCCGGUGCUCGCCGCGUUCCCAGCCACCGCGUCAUCUGCCCGCUCGCCGCGUUCUAAUCGCUCUCAGACCCCUCCCUCACCGCUCUCCUCCCAAGGAAACUUGACCCUCGCCAGCCGCCGUCGCGAAGCCCCGACUUACUCGCUCGUUGUCCAGCUGCUCGCCAAGCUCAAACUCCGCACGCCGUUACCCGGGCUCGGGGGGCGGGGCUUCGGUACGACCCAGUGCGCCUGCGCAGACCGCCCCGCAAGGCUAAAGAGGAGGGGUGGGGAAGGAGCCCUGUGUUUAUGGAACUGGAC
RNAcentral lists this long non-coding RNA (727 nucleotides) under Mus musculus (house mouse). RNAcentral describes it as "glutathione synthase, opposite strand 2". Lineage: Eukaryota; Metazoa; Chordata; Mammalia; Rodentia; Muridae. The record is from RNAcentral.